UACGUAGGGUGCAGGCGUUGUCCGGAAUUAUUGGGCGUAAAGAGCUCGUAGGUGGCCUGUCGCGUCGGCUGUGAAAACUCGGGGCUCAACUCCGAGCUUGCAGUCGAUACGGGCAGGCUAGAGUUCGGCAGGGGAGACUGGAAUUCCUGGUGUAGCGGUGAAAUGCGCAGAUAUCGGGAGGAACAUCAGUGGCGAAGGCGGGUUGCUGGGCCGACACUGACGCUGAUGCGCGAAAGCCAGGGGAGCGAACGGG
Molecule: ribosomal RNA, 253 nt
Filed under: uncultured bacterium
Lineage: Bacteria
Description: partial 16S ribosomal RNA
Rfam family: Bacterial small subunit ribosomal RNA
Source: RNAcentral